UGGGGAAUAUUGGACAAUGGGCGCAAGCCUGAUCCAGCAAUGCCGCGUGUGUGAAGAAGGUCUUCGGAUCGUAAAGCACUUUCGACGGGGACGAUGAUGACGGUACCCGUAGAAGAAGCCCCGGCUAACUUCGUGCCAGCAGCCGCGGUAAUACGAAGGGGGCUAGCGUUACUCGGAAUUACUGGGCGUAAAGGGCGCGUAGGCGGCGCUCCAAGUUAGGCGUGAAAGUCCUGGGCUCAACCUGGGAACUGCGCUUGAUACUGGAGUGCUUGAGGAUGGAAGAGGGUUGUGGAAUUCCCAGUGUAGAGGUGAAAUUCGUAGAUAUUGGGAAGAACACCGGUGGCGAAGGCGGCAACCUGGUCCAUUACUGACGCUGAGGCGCGACAGCGUGGGGAGCAAACAGG
RNAcentral lists this ribosomal RNA (404 nucleotides) under uncultured prokaryote. RNAcentral's name for it is "bacterial SSU rRNA". It matches the Rfam family "Bacterial small subunit ribosomal RNA", at positions 355 to 776 of the family's 1533-position model. The record is from RNAcentral. RNAcentral also lists the same sequence under 1 other name.